Long non-coding RNA from Pseudophryne corroboree (corroboree frog), 502 nucleotides. RefSeq lists it as uncharacterized. The record is from RefSeq and is a predicted model, not a curated record. NCBI's taxonomy places the organism in Eukaryota, Metazoa, Chordata, Amphibia, Anura, Myobatrachidae. The transcript has 3 exons.
CGAAAUUUCACAGACUUGUAGAGAAGCAAAGACACAGCAGCUGCAGCACUAUUCCCAGGAUCGGCUACAGAAAAAUAAAAAUGAGGCUGAACGAUCCUGAGGACUACUGGGCUCGCCUUUGCUUAUUCCUUGUCCUGAUGCAGAUACUUGCACUGAAACCCAGUGGAGACCAACUGUUAAUGCACCUGGACCAAGGCAUCGCCCACCUGUUCAAAUCAACCUAUGACCCCUCCUGUACUGUAAAUGACCAGCCCUUUGACCUAUCUAUGAAGAGUUUCUAUUGUGUUGUACUUUGGAAGAUUGUAUAAAAGCCAAGCCUCUGGCCGGACUCAGUCUCACUCUCACUCUCACUAAGGGUCAUCUUGCUUGAUUGAUCUGAGCCCUGGACCAGGUGGCGCAGGCGAACAAAUGUAUGUAUUCAUUGGUUGUAGCUUCUUCACUGUAUUAGUAUUGUAUUUCUCUGUAACCCCCUUUUAAGUAAAUAUUUGUUGCUGCCUUGGAA